GACGAACGCUGGCGGCGUGCUUAACACAUGCAAGUCGAACGGAAAGGCCCUGCUUUUGUGGGGUGCUCGAGUGGCGAACGGGUGAGUAACACGUGAGUAACCUGCCCUUGACUUUGGGAUAAAUUCAGGAAACUGGGGCUAAUACCGGAUAGGAGCUCCUGAUGCAUGGGGGGGGUUGGAAAGUUUCGGCGGUUGGGGAUGGACUCGCGGCUUAUCCGCUUGUUGGUGGGGUAGUGGCCUUCAAAGUCUUUGACGGGUAGCCGGCCUGAGAGGGUGACCGGCCACAUUGGGACUGAGGUACGGCCCAGACUCCUACGGGAGGCAGCAGUGGGGAAUAUUGCACAAUGGGCGGAAGCCUGAUGCAGCAACGCCGCGUGCGGGAUGACGGCCUUCGGGUUGUAAACCGCUUUCGCCUGUGACGAAGCGUGAGUGACGGUAAUGGGUAAAGAAGCACCGGCUAACUACGUG
RNAcentral lists this ribosomal RNA (468 nucleotides) under uncultured bacterium. RNAcentral's name for it is "partial 16S ribosomal RNA". It matches the Rfam family "Bacterial small subunit ribosomal RNA", at positions 28 to 507 of the family's 1533-position model. The record is from RNAcentral.